This 1541-nucleotide unclassified non-coding RNA is filed under the name Hevea brasiliensis (rubber tree). The record is from RNAcentral. Lineage: Eukaryota; Viridiplantae; Streptophyta; Magnoliopsida; Malpighiales; Euphorbiaceae.
CUUUCAACAUGUUUUCUAUAGAAUGAAACGGAGCGUAAAUGCUAAAAAUCUUGGACAAUGUAUACUCCUGUAAACCACAUAUAUACAGGAACCUCGGAAAUUAACUACUAUAACCACAUGUAAGAAGAAUAGUCAGAGACCACAGUUCAAGAUCAUAUUUUGCAAGGUUACAAGCUUUGGGGAAAUUGAGAAAUACCUUUAACUCUCACCUCAAAUCUUAGCCAUACAUGAAGGAGUCCACCGACGCACGACACUCGCUCUGCUUUAUCUGAUCGCUUGAAUUGCAGUUCAGGAAAAGGUUUACCGCCAAUAUGAACAGUGAAAGACAAAGGAGAUCAUGUGAGUUAGCACUUGGCCUUCUUGCCACUGUUGAGUACUCUCUGCAAAUGGAAAGCUUCACCUUGAUCCCCAUUCAAGGACCUUCUCUCCAAACAGCAAACAGUAAGCUGCCUCAGUAACCUCUCAAGAUACGAGCGCAAGCAACCUUGCAAAUCCUUCAGAUUGGGAUUUGUUGACAAGAUCAUAGCAUUUACAGUGUCGGCCACUAUCUCACGCUGUGACUCUUCAAGAAGAUAGCCAACAGAGGAGUCUUGUGGCUGUUCAUAUGCCAGCAAAGCAACACAGUCCUGAACUAGAUCAUCAAACCCAGGCAACUCAAAGAACUUUGCCAAUUCAAUCCUUCCAUAUUUCACAGCCUCCUCCAGAGAUCCAACCCGAACCAAUUCAAUAAAUUUUUGACAGUGAAGCAGAAAGCAAGUGGCCGAUCUUUCAUCCUGAACAAUCUGUGGAUACCAGUCACGAAGUUUACCAAUUGCAGCAUCAAUAUCACCAUUCCUAAUUAACUGUCGAAGAGUUUUUCUCUGGUUUAAUGCAUAUGUGAUGUCCUGCUCGUCAAACCCAUUCUCUUGAGCUAUAUAUAUAGGAGGGACAGUACUUUUACUAGCCAAGUCAAAAGAAUUGAGAGUCUCCUCAUAGCCAUAAUGCAGUAAGUAGGCGCGAACAAGUCCAUAACUGACAUUUGGUGGCAAGGAUAUUUUCUCAAUUGUAAUUUGUUGCUUCAUCCUUUCCUGUGCUUCAUAUUCCUUAAGAUCAAAAGCAAAUUGUUUCUGCCCAAAGUUGACUUCAAUCUCUUCAUUCUGGCUGUGAACAGCAACUGUAGGGAACAAGGGACCUUUCAUUUCAUUGCACACCGCCCCAACUACUGCUCCAUUUUUAGUGAAAAAGAAUUCCUGUGAAGCAUAAUUAAUACCAGCACCAACUGUAUCCUUGGCAGUAAAGGUUGGACCAAAUUGCUCACCCUUUCCUUGUCCACGAUACAGAUAUCCAUCAUCUCCAUGAUAUCCGCAACUGUUUGCUUCCCAACCGGGUUGCCGGCGCAUCUUAAAGGUGUCAUUAGUGAAGCCAAUAGCAAUCUGCCCUUUAGCCCCAGCAUUCUUAACAUAAAUCUCGAAGUAAUAAACAAGCCGCUUAACAGGAGCAGGCUUAUUGGCUUGGACAGCGCCGACGUCAUGGCCGUGAAGAUUAACAUUUGUGUACUUAAU